RNAcentral lists this ribosomal RNA (492 nucleotides) under uncultured bacterium. RNAcentral's name for it is "partial 16S ribosomal RNA". It matches the Rfam family "Bacterial small subunit ribosomal RNA", at positions 29 to 507 of the family's 1533-position model. The record is from RNAcentral.
AGUGAACGCUGGCGGGAGGAAGAACACAUGCAAGUCGAACGGCAGCACAGUAAGAGCUUGAUCUUAUGGGUGGAGAGUGGAGUACGGGUGAGGAAUAUAUGGGAAUAUACUUUUUUGUGGGGGAUAAGGUAGGGAAACUUACGCUAAUACCGCAUACGACCUACGGGUGAAAGCAGGGGAUCUUCGGACCUUGCGCGAUUGAAUGAGCCGAUGUCGGAUUAGCUAGUUGGCGGGGUAAAGGCCCACCAAGGAGAGGGUUCGUAGCUGGUCUGAGAGGAUGAUCAGCCACACUGGAACUGAGACACGGUCCAGACUCCUACGGGAGGAAGCAGUGGGGAAUAUUGGACAAUGGGCGCAAGCCUGAUCCAGCCAUACCGCGUGGGUGAAGAAGGAAUUCGGGUUGUAAAGCCCUUUUAUUAAGAAAGAAAAGAAGCAGGUUAAUACCCCGCUGUUCUGACGGUACCCAAAGAAUAAGCACCGGCUCCCUUCGUU